GCCGGGCGUGGUGGUGGACGCCUGUAGUCCCAGCUACUUGGGAGGCUGAGGCAGGAGAAUUGCUUGAACCUGGGAGGCGGAGGUUGCAGUGAGCCGAGAUUGGGCCACUGCACUCCAGCCUGGGAGACACAGCAAGACUCUGUCUCAA
This is an unclassified non-coding RNA of Macaca fascicularis (crab-eating macaque), 148 nucleotides long. It matches the Rfam family "Metazoan signal recognition particle RNA". Rfam says of the family: The signal recognition particle (SRP) is a universally conserved ribonucleoprotein. The record is from Ensembl. Lineage: Eukaryota; Metazoa; Chordata; Mammalia; Primates; Cercopithecidae.